AUUAGAUACCCUAUUAUUCUUUAUUUUAAAAAUUUUGAUACUUAAGUAGUAAGAACUUAAACGCAGUUAUUUAAAUUUAUGUGAUGUUUGAAACUUAAAAGGCUUGGCGGUAUUAUAUAUCCUUCCAGGGGAGCUUGUUUAUUAAUUUGAUAAUCCUCAAUUUAUACUUACUUUUUUUUGAAUUCUGAACAAUUUGUGUAUUGCUGUCGUCAGUUUAUUUUGUAAAAAUUUUGGAAAAAACUUAAUAACGUGAUGGUUAUGAUGUCAAGUCAAAAUGCAGUUUAUGAAAAAGGUUUAAAAGUGAGCUACGAUUUAUAAUAUUUAAUCGGAUUAAAUUGUGUAAUUUGUUUAUGAAGUUGGACUUGGUAGUAACAGAAUUAAAUAGUGAGUUUUUGUGAAUUAGGUUUUAUAAUGCGUACACAUCGCCCG
This 429-nucleotide ribosomal RNA is filed under the name Thysanoteuthis rhombus. RNAcentral describes it as "partial small subunit ribosomal RNA". The record is from RNAcentral. Lineage: Eukaryota; Metazoa; Mollusca; Cephalopoda; Oegopsida; Thysanoteuthidae.